CCUACGGGAGGCUGCAGUAGGGAAUAUUGCUCAAUGGGGGAAACCCUGAAGCAGCAACGCCGCGUGGAGGAUGGAGGUUUUCGGAUUGUAAACUCCUUUUGUUAGAGAAGAUAAUGACGGUAUCUAACGAAUAAGCACCGGCUAACUCCGUGACAGCAGCCGCGGUAAUACGGAGGGUGCAAGCGUUACUCGGGAUCACUGGGCGUAAAGAGCGCGUAGGCGGGAUAGCAAGUCAGAUGUGAAAUCCUAUGGCUUAACCAUAGAACUGCAUUUGAAACUGUUAUGCUAGAGUGUGGUAGCGGUAGGUGGAAUUCUUGGUGUAGGGGUAAAAUCCGUAGAGAUCAAGAAGAAUACUCAUUGCGAAGGCGACCUGCUAGAACAUAACUGACGCUGAUGCGCGAAAGCGUGGGGAGCAAACAGGAUUAGAUACCCGAGUAGUC
RNAcentral lists this ribosomal RNA (440 nucleotides) under uncultured bacterium. Its description in RNAcentral is "partial 16S ribosomal RNA". It matches the Rfam family "Bacterial small subunit ribosomal RNA", at positions 338 to 795 of the family's 1533-position model. The record is from RNAcentral.